This 5845-nucleotide long non-coding RNA is filed under the name Sus scrofa (pig). Its description in RNAcentral is "lncRNA (ENSSSCG00035009504.1)". Lineage: Eukaryota; Metazoa; Chordata; Mammalia; Artiodactyla; Suidae. The record is from RNAcentral.
GUAUAUAGAUUAAGAGACUUGACAUUGACAUACAUGUCUUUUGUCUUUUUUCUUUUUUUUUUGUCUUUUUAGUGCCACACCCACGGCAUAUGGAACUUCCCAGGCAAGCCGUCGAAUCAGAGCUACAACUGCCGGCCUGCACCACUGCCACAGCAAUGCAGGAUCUGAGCCUCAUCCGUGACCUGCUCCACAGCUGGUGGCAACACUGGAUCCUUAACCCACCGAGGGAGGCCAGGGAUCGAACCCACAUCCUCAUGGGCACCAUGUCAGGCCCUUAACCUGCUGAGUCACAACAGGAACUUGGAUAUACAUGUCUUUACCUAUCCAUGAAAAAUAAUGGACAUGCUAAAGGCUUGCACAUUUCAGAUUAGUCUAAAUUUUUCCUUAAAAGACCUUGGACAUUUUAGCAGUACUUGCUCUCCAUAGCCACUAGUUAUUUUCAUGUGGCCUUGUUUCUAAGGCCUAAGAAAAGGAAUUAAAAUUGAAGGUAGUGGUAGGGAAAAGUAUGUUAAAAAUGUUUUUUCUCAUUUGGAUGACAAACUAGAAACAACUCCAUCCUACACAUUCAUGAACCCAGUUCCACCCUCAAAGGAGAGAGUCUGUGGAUUUCAGGCCACAUCUCGUGAUUAUCCAUGUGAAGUUAAACAUUGCCACCAGGAAAUGCCAGGAAGUAUCAUCACUGGGCAAGCGAGCAAGAAGCAAAUAGAAAACCAAACCACCUUUCUUCACCAGUUGCAAAUACUUUCAUCACUAGCAGCAAAAGUUGGCCGAUGCUUUCAAAUGCUUUCUUCAUACAUUUAAACUUCAACACAAGCUUCUUUGCAAUACAUGGUUUGAAAUCUCAAAAUGAAGUUUCUGAGCCAAUGGAAGAGAGGGUGCAAUAUGCCCUUCUGUUUUUUUCUGCUGUGAAACUGCUGUAGGAUUUGAGACACAAAACACUGUCAUGGGACAGUAUAACAAUUGGAAGAAAGUGCUGAAAACUGUGUUUUCUUUUUCAUCGUUUUUGACCUGAGCUAUAGUUGAAAGCUUUGGCAGUAGAUGUGUGUUUUGUUGAACGAUCACUGCAAUCGUUUCUAAAUUUAAAAACAGGAAUAAUUCUGACUAGGGUGGUUUUUCCAUCCUUUAUUCAGACAUAAAAUGAGUUUGAGAAUAAGAGAAAGCAGCUUUUUCACUUUGCCGUAUGUUAGGAAUGUCAUUAUAGGCUUCACACUAGAUUAGCUUUUCUUUACUUGCUCUUUAGUUAAACAUGAUGCCAUCAGAACGAAGGGAUUUUAGUGACUGCCCAAAUGCACAUUCCAAGCAAAAGUGGCCGUGAAAUGAACACCAAAUAGCUGAUGGCCCCUUACUUCCUUUUAUGUGGGUUGAUUGGCUGUUUCGGAUGUUAGUACUUUUGGGGUGUUUUGUUUUGUUUUAUUCAGAACUUAACUUGAAAAGAUGAUAUUAAAGUUCCCGCUUUUCUUCUUUUUCUCUGUUACUUAUUUUGACUUAUUACUAAUGUAGUUAGUGGCCCAGUUAUGUUUCUCUUUUUAACAAAAAUAUUUAAAGCAAACUGAUUCUAGCUGUAAGACAUUUAAAUUUAUAGUUUUCUGUUUAAGAGAAGAUUGUGAAAAUAUGGAAAAGGAGAGAUUGAAGGCAGGAAAAAUUACCCUGUGUGAAGGAUUUGGUAUGAGUGGCACUGCUAGCUUGCAGAUACAAUUUCUGGGUUUCUUUCAGCUGGCAAUGCCACUUAAAAGAAGGAGAGCAAAAACAUAUACCAUUUAGGGCAGCAGUUUAGACUCUGCCUCUAGUUUUCCAAUCAAAGUGGCAGAAAGACCCUGGCACGUUAUUAACAUCCUCAGGCUCAGGGAACUAAAAGUUAUGACUGGUACAGUGCUCUAAACUGUAGUUGAAAAAAUAUCUUUUCUGCUACAUUUUAGGGUAAGAGGUUGUCUUGCUUCCUUGUGGGCAUUCCUAAGGAUCUGGUAAUUUAAUAAAUCAAAAUAAAUAAGCCUUAAAAGAUAGAGUGAUAUUCUACUAUGGAGAAUGACCUCUAAACUCAUAUUUUCAGCUUGAAGACAGGCAAGACCCAAUCGCAAAAAAUGAAUUAUAGGCACAUAGCAACAAAAAUCACAUAUUUAUCUGUGCCUACAACAACUUCCUCGUUAAAAAAAAAAUCAAAAAGUGUUUUUUCUUAACAUUUUCUGCUCUUUGUAAAUGUUAACUUGCCUACUAAAUACUCUGAAGAAGGUUUCGUGGUAAUUUGCUCUCUUGCCUUCCCUACUCCUGCUAAGUCAAAUUGUAUUCCCUGUCUUCUGUGAAAAUUACAAGUCAGUAAGUCUACCCUGAAGGACCAUGGGACUCUAGGCCACACAGGCCUUGACUGUAAUUCAAGCUCUGCCACUCACCAGUAACAGUGAUGCUCAUCCAUGAAAUGGGAAGAAUAACUACCUCAUAGGAUUACUAUGAGGAUUAACUGAGAGAACAUUCAUGAAGCUCCCAGCCCUGGUGUGUCUCACAAAACAGGUGCUCAUAGAGCUAAUUCCUUUCCCGCCCAUUCUGCAUCGGUCUCCCUUCUCUGACCCCCCACCUCCACCCUCCCCCUCAUCUCUAAAUAAGGCAUACAUCCUGGCAGGAGCAUUAGCAUGAAUGCCCUGAUGCAUUUGUUACUGAACUAACUCAGCAGUGAACUUGGCAUUCCAUCCCCAGCCUUUCCCCAUCAUUAAUCCCCUUGGGCAACUCCCCGUCGUCGUACGAGAGUACACCAGGACACUGGGAACUCUGAAAGCAGCCACUGUGCACGUGAGCAUUUUUCUACCAGGCUUUCAGCUGGUCUCAUCCAGCCUCAGAGACCAGACUGAGCUCAUGAUAUUCACAGUUAACUGACUCUGGCCAUGUGGCCUCUGCCAUCAAGAUCUGCCACAAGGAGGACAGCCGUUCAGUAAAAUCUUAAGGCUAUUUAUAGCCCAUUUAAAACAAACACUCCCCGUGAAGCCAGAGGAGUCCUCCUUGAGAACACAGAGAGUAAUUCACUAAUCUCAGGACCAAACUAGGGCAAUUGAAGGGUGGAAAAUGUGGUUUAGUACAUUUUUUUUCCAGCCCCCUACACUUUACAAAGCAUUUGCUCCUACACAUUGUCCUAUUUCAUCCUUAUGCUGACCCACAAGGCAGCCAAAGCAGACAGUGACAACAAAUCCCCAUUUUAUAGGUUCCCAAACUGAUGCUAAGGAGGUUAGCUAAAUCAUGUUACAUGGCUGGAGAAGGAGGGGAAAGGAGAGUGGUAAAGAGGAAGAGUGAUUUCCUAUUGGUGCAAUCAGUCUGAACAUCAGUGCAUAAUUGUGGACCCGUAAGAAAAAAAAAUACACAACGAAGAGAAAUAAUGUUUCAUCAUGUUCAGGCAAGCUUAAACAUUGUUUUUUUCUUCACUUCUGAUGGGAAAGCCAAACUAUAAGAAAUAAAAACCUAGAGAGACUCUACAGAGAAACAUUUGUAAACAUGUUUGUAUCUGUCUAGAACAUCUCCAUGCAGAAUAGUUACAUUUUAGCCAAGAAAUGCCUUCUUGAAAUCUCUCCAAAUUAAAAUAUGCAGAAGUCAGGACUAAUCUCGAAAACAAAGAAGGAAUUUUUAUGAGAAAUUUUAAUUGAUUUUGCCAGUCAUCUCUGAUAUAAAUACCUCUUUACUGUCUUUUUAAUAUGAGGGAGUUUGCAGAGUUCAAGUAUUGCACGAAAAGCAAGACAUAAUGCAAAUGAAUUUAUGGACCAGAAAUGAUUUUUUUUUUCUUAAAAGAAUUAUUUCAAUUUUGGCAAACACUUUCGUUUUCUAAGAUCUGGGUUUAAACUGUGUUACCUGGAAAGAGGAUGCAAAGACUUUUUGGCUCAGUCUUUUUGGCUGAGCAAUUAAAAUUGUGUGUGUGUGUGUGUGUGUGUGUGUGUGUGUGUGUGUGUGACAGAGAGAGAGAGAGAUUAUUGCUUCAAGAGUGCCUCUGGGCUAGCAGGUUGGCUCCGAGCCAUUUGGGGAUUCUCAGAUUUACUGCUUCUCUGACUAUUGUUGCAGCUGUGAUUUACGGAGUUCAGAGUCUCUUGAAAGGCAAGACGUCUGAAGUUUAGAGUCUUUCCUUGACAGAACCUCCUCUUCCCCAUAUACUGCUUUUGCCGGUGUUCACCUUGCGGUGACCUUGCAGGACUCAGCAUUUUUACCUGAGCUCAGGAGCCAGGAGCCCACUCGUGCUGGGGCGAGGGCAGCAGUUUCCAUUCCUGGGUGAUGGAGUCAUGGGAGAAACUGCAGCGAACCAACAGAGAGUAGGACCCGAGCAGCGAGCGAGCCAGCCGGCUCCACUGUGCUUGAAGCGGCUCAGGACAGCACAGCCGCUGCCUCUCCCAGCCUGCAAGUGCAGCCUGCAUUUGUCACUGACCUCUGAAGUGUGUGUUUGUGUACGGUGAGAACUGGGUACUUUUGCGUUCAUUUGAAGACAAACUGCCAGGUAUGGCUGUUGAUUGUGUUUGAGAAGCUGGGGAUGGUUGUGUCACCACCAGUUCAGGAUCUCGACUGUGUGUGGUUUUAUUUAUACCCUUGUUUUCUGUCCUGAUCCAUUCAGCGCUGCUCAGUGUCCAAGUGACGGCAGCAGAUUGGACACACUGCUGCUCUUACACCGAAGUGUGAUCAGUCUGGUGCCGGUUUCUUGAAUUCUUUCACUGAUGGCUGAUGCCAGAUGAUAGAGCUGUUCAUAGACCGAAUUCCGGUGCUGAUGGGAAAGCUCGUAGAAACCGCUUCAGAGAUAAAACCGAAUGGCUCUUUUCUGGCAGACUUGCUGUGGUGCGUCUUGGCUUUACUGCUAUUUUAGUGGUUGAGACUCUGAAGAGAGCAGAGCGCCUUAGGGUCUCAUCUGGUGAUAAAAGUAACAAGGGAGUUUUCCAUGCUUUUGCUUGUCACGGCGAAAACUUCUGCGGGACCAGUGGGUCUGUAUGUGUGUGUGUGUGUGUGUGAUUUAAAAAAACUGUUUGAGAACCAGAAGAAAACCAAAUAAUACUUUGCUGUAUUUUGACUUAUGAUUAAUUCAGCCAGCUUCCAGAGCUUUUGUUAUCAGCCUCUUUGAGCUUAGGAAUGUCAUAUUUUGUGGACACAAGGGCUAUACAACCACAGUGUCCCUUCGCGAAGCCUGUGGGGACAUGGAGGGUGUGCUCACUAGGAGUAAAAUAGGAAUCCAAAAUGGGCUCGUGGCUAAGCUGACAGGCCUUAACGCUGUGCCAGUUCUGUAUCUUAGUCCUUAACCAAAUCCAAAGGCGAUGCUGUGUGUUAUUAUGUCUAAAUAGAUACACAGGAGAUUUGUAUUCCUGAAACACAUGCUCUAAAAAAAGGAAAACCUGGGAAUUUGGUACUGUAAAAAUAGGAUGAGCAAAAGUUCGAAAAGCCAUCAGAUGUUACCAGAGGGGGAAAAAUAAGACAUUAAAAUGAGGAAUAAUUACAAUGGAAUAUGAAAAGUGCUUCAACUGCUCCAAUUUUUAAGUCUAGUGAAAGAAUAAUAAUGUAUUUAAGGAAAUUCUGAGUCAGCAGAAAUGAAGCCAAGAGCAAAAAUUCUUACUAAAACAGACUGUCAACCUGUGGAAUGCAUUUGUCUUAAUCAAAUUGAGUUCUGUUGCCUAGACGGACAAAAUUAGAAUUCUUAAGCAACGUAAAGCUUAACAUUUUAUUUAAAAUUGGGUAGGCUUUGAAAACCAAUAUAGUAACAAAAGAUAUGUUAAAAUGCAAUGAACAUUAAAAUUAUUCAAAACACUUAAGAGAUAACCUACAAUAUCAAAGUUAUUUGUUGCGUUUUUGAAUUACGUCUGUUUAGGAAGAGUCUAAUACUUUACCCUAGACGGUCACCCGUGGC